This 497-nucleotide ribosomal RNA is filed under the name uncultured bacterium. RNAcentral describes it as "partial 16S ribosomal RNA". It matches the Rfam family "Bacterial small subunit ribosomal RNA", at positions 28 to 507 of the family's 1533-position model. The record is from RNAcentral.
GAUGAACGCUGGCGGCGUGCCUAAUACAUGCAAGUCGAGCGAACAGACGAGGAGCUUGCUCCUCUGACGUUAGCGGCGGACGGGUGAGUAACACGUGGAUAACCUACCUAUAAGACUGGGAUAACUUCGGGAAACCGGAGCUAAUACCGGAUAAUAUAUUGAACCGCAUGGUUCAAUAGUGAAAGACGGUUUUGCUGUCACUUAUAGAUGGAUUCGCGCCGCAUUAGCUAGUUGGUAAGGUAACGGCUUACCAAGGCAACGAUGCGUAGCCGACCUGAGAGGAUGAUCAGCCACACUGGAACUGAGACACGGGCCAGACUCCUACGGGAGGCAGCAGUGGGGAAUAUUGGACAAUGGGCGCAAGCCUGAUCCAGCCAUACCGCGUGGGUGAAGAAGGCCUUCGGGUUGUAAAGACCUUUUGUUGGGAAAGAAAAGCAGCAGGUUAAUAACCCGCUGUUCUGACGGUACCCAAAGAAUAAGCACCGGCUAACUUCGUG